GCUCCAGUGGCGCAAUCGGUUAGCGCGCGGUACUUAUAUGGCAGUACAACUCGUGAGCAAUGCCGAGGUUGUGAGUUCGAGCCUCACCUGGAGCA
This 95-nucleotide transfer RNA is filed under the name Ictidomys tridecemlineatus (thirteen-lined ground squirrel). Its description in RNAcentral is "Spermophilus tridecemlineatus (thirteen-lined ground squirrel) tRNA". It matches the Rfam family "tRNA". From Rfam's summary of the family: Transfer RNA (tRNA) molecules are approximately 80 nucleotides in length. Their secondary structure includes four short double-helical elements and three loops (D, anti-codon, and T loops). The record is from Rfam by way of RNAcentral. Lineage: Eukaryota; Metazoa; Chordata; Mammalia; Rodentia; Sciuridae.